GCGGUGAAAUGCGUAGAUAUCAGGAGGAACACCGAUGGCGAAGGCAGGUCUCUGGGCAUUAACUGACGCUGAGGAGCGAAAGCAUGGGGAGCGAACAGGAUUAGAUACCCUGGUAGUCCAUGCCGUAAACGUUGGGCACUAGGUGUGGGGGACAUUCCACGUUUUCCGCGCCGUAGCUAACGCAUUAAGUGCCCCGCCUGGGGAGUACGGCCGCAAGGCUAAAACUCAAAUGAAUUGACGG
RNAcentral lists this ribosomal RNA (241 nucleotides) under uncultured bacterium. RNAcentral describes it as "partial 16S ribosomal RNA". It matches the Rfam family "Bacterial small subunit ribosomal RNA", at positions 678 to 916 of the family's 1533-position model. The record is from RNAcentral.